Sorghum bicolor (sorghum) is the source of this 406-nucleotide long non-coding RNA. RefSeq lists it as uncharacterized. The transcript is spliced from 3 exons. The record is from RefSeq and is a predicted model, not a curated record. NCBI's taxonomy places the organism in Eukaryota, Viridiplantae, Streptophyta, Magnoliopsida, Poales, Poaceae.
UCCAUGUAUAAUAAUAAUCAUUAUUAUCAGGGAGGACCACAAAGCCGUCCAGAGUACCCUCAUCGACCACAGGCAUCAUCAUCGUCAUCCUCUCGUGCAUCGAGCUAUAUUGGUUAGCUGGAUAAGGUACCGCCAACUGGUACUCAAGGGCCGCAGUUCCAACCGUCUUACACCUAUGUUCAAGCUGGUCAAAACAAUAGCAGAAACACAAAUGCAACAGCUAGCGGAACGUCUACUACCAUGCCCGUGAUGGGUCAACGUUAUUAAGUACAACAUAUGGAGGAGGAAGAAGAUUGGUCCAUGUGUGAGCUAGCUAGUCGUAUGGCAGAGAGAGAAAAAUAGAUUCUGUUUGUUAAUUUAUAUAUGCAAUAAGCUCUUGAUUAUUUGAUUCAUUGAUUGUAUUUGC